RNAcentral lists this ribosomal RNA (415 nucleotides) under uncultured microorganism. RNAcentral's name for it is "bacterial SSU rRNA". It matches the Rfam family "Archaeal small subunit ribosomal RNA", at positions 330 to 745 of the family's 1478-position model. The record is from RNAcentral.
GCGCAGCAGUCGCGAAACUUCACAAUGUGCGAAGGCACGAUGAGGGAAUCCCAAGUGCUUGCACGUAAGUGUAAGCUGUUUCUCUGUCUAAAACGCAGAGAGAGUAAGGGCUGGGUAAGACGGGUGCCAGCCGCCGCGGUAAUACCUGCAGCUCGAGUGGUGACCGUUAUUAUUGGGCCUAAAACGUCCGUAGCCGGUUUAAUAAAUGCCUGGGUAAAUCGGACCGCUUAACGGUUCGAAUUCCGGGUAGACUGUUAAACUUGAGACCGGGAGAAGUUAGAGGUACUCCUGGGGUAGAGGUGAAAUUCUGUAAUCCUAGGGGGACCACCAGUGGCGAAGGCGUCUAACUAGAACGGGUCUGACGGUGAGGGACGAAGCCCUGGGGCGCAAAACGGGGAUUAGAUACCCGUGUAGU